This 576-nucleotide ribosomal RNA is filed under the name uncultured eukaryote. RNAcentral's name for it is "SSU rRNA". It matches the Rfam family "Eukaryotic small subunit ribosomal RNA", at positions 174 to 758 of the family's 1831-position model. The record is from RNAcentral.
CUAAAAACCCCGACUUCGGAAGGGGUGUAUUUAUUAGAUACAAAACCAAUGCCCUUCGGGCUCUUUGGUGAUUCAUGAUAACUAUACGAAUCGCACGGCCUUGCGCCGGCGAUGGUUCAUUCAAAUUUCUUCCCUAUCAACUUUCGAUGUUUGGGUAUUGGCCAAACAUGGUUGCAACGGGUAACGGAGGGUUAGGGCUCGACCCCGGAGAAGGAGCCUGAGAAACGGCUACUACAUCCAAGGAAGGCAGCAGGCGCGCAAAUUACCCAAUCCCGACUCGGGGAGGUAGUGACAAUAAAUACUGAUACAGGGCCCUUUCGGGCCUUGUAAUCGGAAUGAGUACAAUUUAAAUCCCUUAACGAGGAACAAUUGGAGGGCAAGUCUGGUGCCAGCAGCCGCGGUAAUUCCAGCUCCAAUAGCGUAUAUUAAAGUUGUUGUGGUUAAAAAGCUCGUAGUUGAACCUUGGGCCUGGCUGGCCGGUCCGCCUCACCGCGUGCACUGGUCCGGCCGGGCCUUUCCCUCUGUGGAACCCCAUACCCUUCACUGGGCGUGGCGGGGAAACAGGACAUUUACUUU